Nicotiana attenuata is the source of this 2538-nucleotide RNA transcript. It is a transcript of the gene named phosphomethylpyrimidine synthase, chloroplastic, with no coding region annotated. The record is from RefSeq and is a predicted model, not a curated record. Lineage: Eukaryota; Viridiplantae; Streptophyta; Magnoliopsida; Solanales; Solanaceae.
GGGGAGAAAUAUGGCAUGUGUCCAAACUGCUUUAACAUCACUUCUGUGCAAGAAUGGGAAUCAUCAUCCACAAAUAAAUUUUCCAAGCAGUUCCUUCUUGCCAGGGUUUGAUUUGACAGGGCAAGUUGCUGUUACGCGGAAAAGGGAGACAUGUGUUAAUUCUUUCUCCGGCCCUAAAGCAACAUUAACCUUUGAUCCUCCAAGUGCUAACAAAGAGAAGACGAAGCCAAAGCACACAGUUGAUCCUAAUGCUCCUGAUUUCUUGCCACUUCCAUCAUUUGAAGAAUGCUUCCCUAAAAGCUCCAAAGAAUACAGUGAAGUUAUUCAUGAAGAAACAGGUCAUGUGCUCAAAGUCCCAUUUCGUCGUAUCCACCUUUCUGGGGAUGAACCACAUUUUGACACUUAUGAUACCAGUGGUCCUCAGGGUGUAAAUCCUCGUAUUGGCCUCCCCAAGUUGCGCAAGGAGUGGAUUGACAAAAGGGAGAAGUUAGGAGGACCAAGGUACACUCAAAUGUUCUAUGCUAAGCAGGGAAUUAUAACUGAGGAAAUGGCUUACUGCGCUGCACGUGAAAAAAUGGAUCCGGAGUUUGUGAGAUCAGAAGUUGCUCGGGGCCGUGCAAUCAUCCCUUCAAACAAGAAGCACCUUGAGUUGGAGCCUAUGAUAGUAGGAAGAAAAUUCUUAGUGAAAGUCAAUGCCAACAUUGGAAACUCUGCUGUUGUAAGCUCGAUCGAAGAAGAAGUUCACAAGCUUCAAUGGGCAACAAUGUGGGGUGCAGAUACUAUUAUGGAUCUCUCUACUGGUCGUCACAUCCACGAGACUCGUGAGUGGAUCUUACGUAAUUCUGCUGUACCAGUGGGCACUGUGCCAAUCUACCAAGCAUUAGAAAAAGUAAAUGGCAUCGCUGAGAAUCUGAGUUGGGAAGUUUUUAGAGAGACCUUAAUUGAACAAGCUGAGCAAGGUGUUGAUUACUUCACAAUUCAUGCUGGAGUUCUUCUUAGGUACAUCCCAUUGACAGCGAAGCGGAUGACUGGAAUUGUUUCGCGUGGAGGCUCCAUUCAUGCAAAGUGGUGCUUAGCUUAUCACAAGGAAAAUUUUGCAUAUGAACAUUGGGAUGAUAUACUUGACAUCUGUAAUCAGUACGAUAUAUCGUUAUCAAUUGGUGAUGGACUGAGACCUGGUUCAAUUUAUGAUGCAAAUGACACUGCUCAGUUUGCUGAACUCUUGACUCAAGGAGAGCUGACUCGCCGGGCUUGGGAAAAGGAUGUACAGGUUAUGAAUGAAGGGCCUGGACACGUUCCAAUGCAUAAGAUUCCCGAGAACAUGAAGAAACAGCUAGAGUGGUGCAAUGAAGCACCGUUUUACACUCUUGGACCUUUGACAACUGAUAUAGCUCCUGGAUAUGAUCAUAUCACCUCUGCCAUUGGUGCAGCCAAUAUAGGCGCACUUGGAACCGCGCUGCUGUGUUAUGUUACUCCAAAAGAGCAUCUUGGUUUGCCUAAUCGGGAUGAUGUGAAGACCGGAGUUAUAUCAUACAAGAUUGCUGCUCAUGCAGCUGAUCUAGCGAAAGGUCAUCCACUUUCUCAGGCUUGGGAUGAUGCAUUGAGCAAGGCAAGAUUUGAGUUCCGAUGGAUGGAUCAAUUUGCUUUGUCAUUGGACCCCGUGACUGCACUGUCUUUCCACGAUGAAACUUUACCAGCCGAUGGUGCUAAAGUGGCACAUUUCUGCUCUAUGUGUGGCCCUAAGUUUUGUUCUAUGAAAAUAACUGAAGAUAUAAGGAAGUAUGCAGAAACUCAUGGUUAUGGAAGCGCAGAGGAAGCCAUACUGCGCGGCAUGGAUGCUAUGAGUGCAGAGUUUCAAGCUGCAAAGAAAACCAUUAGCGGGGAACAACAUGGCGAGGUUGGUGGUGAAAUCUACUUGCCGGAAAAUUACAUCAACUCUUUGAAGAGCUAAAGGACUUCAUAGAUUGAAAACUGGAUCAAGAGCUUUCUGAAGUGAUCACACUCCAUCGGCCAGUCAAGAAGAGGGAGGGUGUAGGAGCUUCAUUAUCAAGUAUUAGGGGUGCCUGUGUCAGCUUCAGAAACCUGGCCUUAUUAGCCAUAAUGCUGACUGAACAGGCUGAGAAAGUCCCUUUGAACCUGAACAGGAUAAUUCCUGCGUAGGGAGUGUGCAUUUUUUUUGUUGCUUGCACAGGGAAGGAGAUUCUUCCAUGGUUCAAAUUAAGCUGAUCCUGCCCUUUGCCAGGACCAGUUGUACAUUAUAUUCAAGAUCAGGGGUGUAUUCAGUAGUAGAGUUAUGGGUUCAUUUGAAGUUUUGAACUCAUAACUUUUAGCCUGAAUUUAUCUGUGUUAGGCGCAUGGCCUUUCUUCGGAUUAGGUACUACAGUUAGCCCCCCCCCCCCCCCCCCCCCUAAAAAAAAAACUUGCUAAGACCUAUUGAAAAUAUUUAACUAUGAAACCAUAAUUCAAACAAUAUGAUGGAUUCAGUAGGUGAAAUCCGAGUGCUGAACACAAAAUAAAAAUCCUGGAUUUGCCUUUGUU